UGAAAAAGAAAUAUUAGAAGAACUUGAUUAUAAAAAUUUAAUUAAAAAUUUUGUAUCUCAAAAAAUUAAAAAAAAUUAAUAAAAAAUUUACAUAAAUUUUAAUUUAAAAAAAGUAUAAAUUUUAAUAUUUAGCUUUAAGCCUCUAUAUGUGUUGUGCCACCCUUGCUCUAGAUCCACAGAAAAUAAAAUUGAGAAUAUUCCAAAUGGCAAGAAUAGCAUUGCAUUAGAGAUUUUUAAGAAAUUAUAACAAUAAUUAUAAUGGAGAUAUCUCUGUUAAGAUCAUUCACUACCAUGAAUAAAGGAUAAGAGUUUUAUUGGAUAUCUAAGAUAAUGCGAAACCAAAAUCUAUGUAACAUUUUGCAUCUAAUUAUAAAUUAUAUAGUAACUAAGAACUAUUUUUCUGUUAUUUACAAAAACAAAAGUUCUUACUGUUGGUUAAUCACAAGCUAAUGAUGUCAGAUAUUUGCAAAUAAACUACAUAGAGUUUCAGGUGCAUUUUUAUAAGAUCACUUUCAUCCCUUAAAACAGUCAGAAUUUAUGCAUGUGUAUUCAGUUCCUUCUUCAUUUUAUUUAUUUUGUCAACCUUGUAACAGCUAAAGUUUUUUUUUUUUUGAUAAUGACAACCAGUGAAAUAUUGUACAUAUAAUUGAACAAUCAGAAUUAGUUAAUGUGCUCUCUAUGGACCUAUAUCAUGCACACAUGCACAUAAGUAGAUACAAUCAAUCACUGAAACAAUGAGUAUAUAAAAAGAGACUAAUGCUAAAUCGGCUUCUUUUCCUUUCUUCAUGUACAUAUAAGAAGAAUUUUCUUUAUUACAAAUGUGAUGUUAAUAUGUGAGAAUAUUAUCAUCACACGUGUUUACAGCAUCUGUGCAUGCAUGCAACAAUAUGUGCAUAUGUAAGAACUACACAAAAAUAUAAAGAGAAUAGAAGAGCAGAGAUAAAUGUUGCAAAAAAAUGUACAAGAUUGCGGUAACUAAUAAAUAUAAGUCCUAUUAAGUAUGUCCCCAAUUUUGGACCCUUUAUUAUGGCCUUUUACUCUUGUAUUUGGGCUUAUGUUUCUUUCC
Molecule: long non-coding RNA, 1066 nt
Filed under: Elaeis guineensis (African oil palm)
Lineage: Eukaryota; Viridiplantae; Streptophyta; Magnoliopsida; Arecales; Arecaceae
Description: long non-coding RNA (EGUI_LNC023473)
Source: RNAcentral